AAAUGGAGAACAGCUGCUCACGCUCGUCGUCUGACAUCAGCUAUUUCUCAGGAUGACCCUGCGAGACAGGCCAGGGUCAUUAGACCCAAUUUGGUUCUCAGCAAAUAUGUGUUUAUUCCUGCAUGCGUGGGCCACAGGCUGGUUUCUUGGGUGCAAUGAAUAGCUGCAGGUUUAUUAGGGUGUCUUUUUAGAUGGAUGUAUGUUUCCCGAUGUCUAUAGAACACUCCGGACCCCGGAGAGUGAAGACUCUGCCUGUCGGACUUGCUUUGAGAAGAUCCUUCUCCACCUCCCCAUGGCAGAAGUUGCUUCACAGAGGGGAACAGUUUUAUGGAUGUGGCUGAGACCUUAAACUUGAGGCAACCCAUCUGAGGUGGCAUCCAGAGGAGACUGGCUGGCCCCUCCUUCACCUUGGAUGUAGUGCUGUUUCUAGGAUCUCUUUUCAAUCAGCAAAACAGGGGAUGUUCCAAGAGGGUGUGGAUUCCCUGCCAUCCCACAUGGUCAAGUGGAGGGGACGGGAAAAAGCUAUGAAGGGUUUGUGACCACACAGACUCUCCUGGCCCCCUGUCCUUUUGGAAAGAAGACAGGGAUGAAAUAUAAUCAAGCAAUUAACCACCCCCAUCAUCACCAAGAACAACAGUAUCAACAAGAAGAACAGGGACAACAAAACCCACGGAUGAAACAUUCCUUUCUCAGCUCAGAUCUUAUCUGGUGCGUUCUCUCUCUGCUCUGUCUUGGUGUGUGGUUUAGAGAAACAUGGACAACGCUGUUUGGAAGAACAGGUGAGCGAGGGUGGGGAAUUUCAGAGGCCUGGGCCCACCGCCUCCACCCCUUCCCCAGUUUAACCUUUGACAGGAUCUUCACCUCUCUCUGAUCAGCAUUGCUUCUUGUUCAAAGGCCUCAGCCACCCAGCUGUGUCCCUUUCCCCAGAAAGCAAGGGCAGAUGGCAGUGGGUCUGUUGAUGAGAGAACUUUAAGGGCCCAAUCAGUCCCUGGGCACCCCCUCCUGGGCUCGUUUUCUCCAGGAGGCUGCAUUCUGAUCCAUAAACCUUCUCCUCGGGGUUUAGGGUCGAGCUGUUCCUGAUGUUUAUCGGAGACUGGGAUCAAAGCUAUCCAGGUCAUAAAUCUCUCUCUGUGGCUGUUGGGCCCCAGGGCAGCUGAAGAGGGUUGACAGCCCUUUGGACCUCAAAGGAAAAAAUGUGCUCUACUCCACCCACUCCCAGCUCUGCCAAGAAGCUGUCCUCUGAGAAGCCAUGGCUGGGCCGUUCCAUUCUGGGGAGCUGCUGAAAAGAGCUGGGAGGCCGAGAAGAACUUGCGUGUGCUGGGGGAGAGGAAGCCUGGCCUUGAGGGAGGGGUGCAGGUGUGGCUCCUCUGUGUGUGGGGGCUGGGGGACCUUGUGUGCCUUUUCCUUGUGGCUGUGAAAUGCUUUAUGAGUACUUCCAUAGGAGGAUGGACAGGGAGUCGGGGAGAUAAACUCAGCCACAAGGCCCCAGGGCCUCAGGAAACUUGCACCCAACCCUCUCAUUUUACAGAAGAAAACUGUGCCUGGAAGGUUGAAGGGUUUGUUCCCAGUCACACAACCAGGGAUCCUUAGGACAGCCAGACCAGGAAACCAUUUCCAAACUGCCAAGCCAUGGCAGAGUAUCAAGACCUCAGGAACCAUCGAGACACCAUGGAAGCAUUGGGAAAAGCCUCCUUAGCUUUUGAAGCUCCUCAUUGUUCUUGAGUGUGCAUGGAGCCCAUGACUGCGGGGUUUUGUAGACACCUCAGGGAUUACAUGACUGGUACCCCUGACAAAGUCAAGGCUGCUGGACAAAAUGAGUCCGAGGAUUUCAGGGGCAGCUGGGCGCAGGAGCUGGUGGGCUGUUGGGAGUGCCCCUUUACUGGGCAGGCUUCCUUCCUCCUGGUGAUGGGGGGUUCCUCAGCACAAAAGUGAAGGGGUGGAGGGGCUGGAGGAGCAGGAAUCUCUCUUGUUGAUAGGUAUGAGGCCUUGAAGUCCUUUUCUUUGUCCCAGGAUUCAUGGACGCUUCGGGGCUGAUCUUUGAGUUUUCAAGCAUGGGGUGCAGAGACGUUUAGGUAAACUCUUACCGUCCUCUCUCUUCGUCAGGGCUUCCCAGGAAUCAACAAUGCCCAAGAAGGAAGGGAUUGUAGAAAUAGCUUAACCCUUUCAUUUACCAACGUGGAAAUUGAAGCCCAGGGAAGGGAAGGGACCGGUCGUGGAAGGGAGAGCCAUCAGCAGAAAGAGACCCUGAGAUCUUCGCCUGGGAUUCCCAGGAAGUCCAGCCCGAGCUGAUUCACAGAACAAAUGCAUGCAAACCUUGCUAUCAAUAAAUUACACAUGCACUUACGUAAAACACAUAAAAAUAUAUGGCCUUGGUUUUGGAACAAUACCCCACAGAUAAAAGUAGCUUUAAAUCCUCCAUAAAAUGAUAAAGUCUAGUCCUAAACUCCUAGCAGUUCUGCGGGUGAUCACAGGCGGCAGGAGCCGCUCAAACUUUAAUGGCUUGGUAUCUCCACAUGUAGACAGGAGGCAGAAAACCAUCGGGGAUGAAGUCGUGGGCUCUAGAAUUGCAAAGACGUGGGUUCCAGGCCAGGCUUGGCCCUUGCUAACUGUUGACCUUGAGCAAAUUACCCAACCUGUUCCUUAUUUGUUUCUGCCUCAUAGGUAGUUGUGCAGAUGAAAUGAUAUCAGUUCUCAGAACAGUGCUGGGGACAGAGUACACUCUAUGCUCAAUACAUAUUCACUUUUAGAGAUAUCUUGGGAUUCUCAGUCUAAGUGACAUUCAAAAGUACCUCACUGGGAGGCAAGACCAAGGUGGAGCCUCCUCUUGGAUGGGAUGUGGGCCUAUUUUAUUUUACUUCUUUAUUUUUGUAGGUGCAUGCCACCACACUUGCUAAUUAAUUUUUUUUUUUUUUUUUUGUAGAGAUGGGGUCUCACUAUGUUGCUCAGGCUGGUCUUAAACUCCUGGCCUCAAGCAAUCCUCCUGCCUCAGCCUCCCACAGUGCUGGGAUUACAGGCAUGAACCACUGAGCCCGGCACCUCUAUUUUAAAUCUAUUUUAUCUUUUGAGAUAUAGUCUUGCUCUGUCACCCAGGCUGGAGUGCAGUGGCGCGAUCUCAGCUCCCUGUAACCUCUGCCUCUCGGGUUCAAGCAAUUCUUCUGCCUCAACCUCCCAAGUAGCUGGGACUACAGGCGCCCGCCACCACGCCUGUCUAAUUUUUUGUAUUUUUAGUAGAGACAGGGUUUCACCAUGUUAGCCAGGAUGGUCUUGAACUCCUGACCUCGUGAUCUGCCUGCCUCGGCCUCCCAAAGUGCUGGGAUUACAGGCGUAAGCCACUGCACCCGGCUAUUUUAAAUCUACAGACAAAUCACCCAUGAAGUGCAGUGGGGGAAUAGAGGGCUGGGCUCAGUUAAUUCAGAAGAAGAUUUAUCCCAGGAUCAGGAAAUGAGAGUUUCAGAUGUUGCCAGUAGCUUAAGUGGCUUUUAGGGCCUUUUUUCUGUCUGGCCAGGGCUCAUCCUGGGCUGAGCUUUAAGGCCUGUUAGGGGCUGAAUUCUGUCCCCCUCAAAGUUUAUAUGUUGAACUCAUAACCCCAGUACCUUAGACUGUGACUGUAUUUGGAGAUAGGGUCUCUAAAGAGGUAAUUAGGUUAAAAUGAGGUCACUAGGGUGGGCCCUAGUCCAAUAGAAAUGUGUCCUUGUUGGAUAAGGGGCAACGUGGACACAGACACGUGCAGAGGGGAGCCCCUGUGAAGAAGCGGGGAGAAGACAGUCACCUGCAAGCCACAGACGGGGCCUGUGAAGGAACCAAUCCUGUCAAUACCUUGGUCUUGGUCUUGGCCUUCCAGCCUCCAAAACCCAGAGGCCAUCAAUUUCUGGUGAGGCAGCCCUAGCCGCCUUUCUAAGCGUUCAUACUCCUGGUUUGGCAGAGGGGAAGGGACCACGGCCAGCGCUUCUUAAACCUUCGUGUGUGUGAAACUCACUUCCUGGGGAGCUGGAUCAAGAUGCAGAUUCUAUGACCAUCUAGUUUCCCCUUUCUCAUCCCUUAUCUAAUUUGCUCCUCUGUGGAACUGUGUGAAGUAGACAGGGCAAGAAUUUUCAUCCCCAUUUUCCAGAUUAAGAAACUGAGUCUCAGAUGGAAGAAUCACAGCAAGUGAGAGGCAGUCAAGCCUCCAACUCAGGUCAAGUGAGGCGUCCUCACAUCCCAUGCCCCCCGUAAUUUCCCGAUCCCUAGCAGGGGCACCUGGGGAGACUCCCUGGUGAUGCUGUGUCAGGACUCCCUUCUUUAUUUUGAGACAGAGUUUCACUCUUGUCACCCAGGCUGGAGUGCAGUGGUGUGAUCUCAGCUCAUUGCAACCUCCACCUCCCAGGUUCAAGCAAUUCUCCUGCCUCAGCCUCCCAAGUAGCUGGGAUUAUAGGUGCCUGCCACCAUGCCUGGCUAAUUUUUGUAUUUUUAGUUGAGACGGGGUUUCACCAUGUUGGCCAGGCUGGUCUUGAACUCCUGACCUCAGGUGAUCCACCUGCCUCGACUUCCCAAAAUGCAGGGAUUACAGGUGUGAGCCACCGUGCCUGGCAGGGCUCCCUUUUUGACAGACACUGUCUUAGACCUCAGGCUCCCUCAGGCCUUCGCUCUUGGGGGUUGGAGCUGAGGGGAGGAUGGAAAGUGUCCCUCCCCAUCACAGCGCAGCUAGCUGGUGAGAGGGGCUGGGAGCUCCCGGAUCUGUCUGGACAUGCAGCCACUCCUGGCAGUCCCCACCCCUCCUUCCACCCAGCCCCUCUGCCUUCCAGCAAGUGAAUGAAGUCAGGCAGGCCCUGGGCCAUCCCGGGUGAAGGAGGGAGUGGGCAUGGCUUGGCACUCCAAGGGCUCGCCAUUGGGAGGGGCGUGGAGACGGUGUGAACUCCUUGGUGUCUUGCUCUUGUCAUCUUCCAGCAUGACAUAUGCACAAAGGUACCUUUUAUAGGUGGGAAAUUAUAGGUGCUGCCACUUCAAAGGCCUUGGCAACCAGAGCUCCUCUUUGAUAGAUGACAGUAUUAUUAAUGGUGAUUUAUUGCUGGGGCCAUUUUGACAACAGAAAUAACCAGUUUCCCCACCUUUUCGGCUCUCUUCUCCCACACCUUCCUGGGGAUUUUUUUUUAUUUUGGCUGGCCCUGUGUGUUUUUCUGGCUGCAGGGGUUACCUCCCUGCACGAGGAGGCAUGGGAGGUAACCCAUGGAGCAUCUGCUUAAGGCACAUAGUGAGGCAUCUGGCUUAUUAACUUGUCAUCAUGUGUCAUAAAGUUUAGUGAAAUGCUGGCAGAUUGUAAUCCUAAACAGGGCAAUUACCCUCUUAUUAAAGCAGUACUUUUUCUGUCUGUCUGUCUGUCUCUCUCUUAUUUUUCUCUCUCUCCCUGCCUCCACCCCCUUUCCUGGGAUUGUUGUUACCUCUGCCCUACUUGCACAAUUAGUCAUGAGCGGAGGUCACCUGCUUCAUAAUGAUCCCAGAGUAGGCCUGGCCUUGGCGGGGCAGAGCUGAAGGGGAAGGGGCAAAGGAGAGCUAACCAUGGUGAGGCUUGCUGCAGCAAGCUGGCCUCACGGGGCAUGGGGACAAGGCGCUGUCCCAGGCGGGAGGCUGCAGUAAGAAGGUUGUGGUCUGAGGUUUCUGGCUGCAGGCAGCGAGAAGGAGAGAGGAGAGAGAGCUGACAGGAGCGACUGAGCCUCUGUGGACUUCGCCGCUCACCCAGAUUUUCCGGCAGAGAUGCCUCCCUCUGCCUUUUUCUCCCUCACUUUCGUAUCUCGAAACACAGGUGGAAAAUAAGAAAGGAAGUGGCAGUGGGUGAUGGGGGCCUGGGACAUGAGGACUCCUCACUUGAUCUGAAUUGGAGGCUUGGCUGCCACUCACUUGCUAUGAUUCUUCCAUCUGAGACUCAAUUUCUAAAUCUGUGAAAUGGGGGUGAAACAUCUUGCCCUGUCUGCUUCCCACAGUUUUAGGGAAGAUCAAAUUAGAAAAGGGAUAGGAAAGGGGAUGGCUCAUGGUAACUCACUCCACAAAUCUGAGGGAUGAUUGUAAUUUCAUAUGUGUGACCACAGGGUCUUAUGUCAUGUCUAACGGAGCUCUACCCCCGUGAUUCCAAAGGAUCGUUGACUAUAUUGAAAUUUGGUCUUCUGUCUCUUUCUGUAUUCCUCAGGGUUUUGAUGACCUUGGUUUCUAAAUCUGCCUGGGAGGCAUUGUUUGACUCUGGUCUGAACAACAGGAGUUUUCGGCACAGGUGUGAUCAUGUUACCUGCACAGUGCGAGGUUAAGAAGACAAAUGGGGGUAGGCUAGAGGCAACAGCCAAAUCACAAUUUGCCAGAUCUGAAAAGACCUUAGAGAUUACCUAGCUGAAUUGUCCCCUGCUGUAGAUUUGUAAAUCGAGGCUCGAAGAGGUAGAAUAACUUUCCUAAAAAUCAUCAGAUAAAUGACAGGCAGAGUGGAGACUAGAUCUCCCAUCGCCAGACUUGGCCCAGUGCUCUGUCCACCAAAGCAUGUUGACUGCAUCAACUCUGGGUGCACCUUCUCCUCCUUUAUCAUCAGUCAGCGUUCAGGAAAGCACUGCUAGCAGUCAUUUACACCUUAGCAUGAAUUUAAGCCAACAUUUAGUUCUCCCAGGUGCAUUUGCUUUUUUUUUUUUUGAGAUGGAGUUUUGCUCUUGUCGCCCAGGCUAGAGUAUAAUGGUGUGAUCUCAGCUCAUUGCAACCUCCACCUCCCGGGUUCAAGCGAUUCUCCUGCCUCAGCCUCCUGAGUAGCUGGGAUUACAGGCACCUGCCACCACGCCUGGCUAAUUUUUGUAUUUUUAGUAGAGACGGGGUUUUGCCAUGUUGGUCAGGCUGGUGUCAAACUCCUGACCUUAGGUGAUCUGCCCACCUCGGCCUCCCAAAGUGCUGGGAUUACAGGCGUGAGCCACUGUGCCCAGCCGCAUUUGCUUUUGAGGUCUCAUCCCAUUGUAUAGAUUGUUCCCUGUCAAUGGCAUUUCCAGCACUGGUGAGAAGAGAGGCAAGGCAGGGCUUGUGAUUCUCAUCCCCAAGACCCUGCCACUUGCCUACUCGCUCGGGCAAUGAGGGCGGGCACUGCUUCCAGAGUUAAACUGCACUGGACCCAGAUCUAUGUGUCCAUAAGUCAGAGCAAGUUUGUCAGAAGCUGUCAGGGAGUAAGGCUGAGUAGACGGAUGGAGUCAGACUCAUUUAAAAAUGGAAUACCAGCAGAUAGGUUUAAAAAUGGAAUGCGGCCGGCUAGAGUGAAGGUGGUCCCUAAACCAAACACCUGUCCCUUCUGUGUGUUUUCUGGUUUCUUUCCCCAUUGCUCGAGAAUGCUAGAAGCCAGACUAGUAUUAAGAACUCUAAAUUCCUAGCCUGGCAUGGUGGUUUACACCUGUAAUCCCAGCAACUUGGGAGAUCAAGGCAGGAGGGGAUCACUUGAGCCCAGGAAUUUGAGACCAACCUGGGCAACGUGUUGAAACCCCAUCUCUACAAAAAAUACAAAAAUUAGUCAGGCAUGUGGUGCAUGCCUGUAGUCUCAGCUACUUGGGAGGUUGAGGUGGGAGGAUUGCUUAAGCCCAGGAGGUCGAGGCUGCAGUGAGCCAUGAUCGCGCCACUGCACUCUAGCCUGGGUGACAGAGCGAGACCUUGUCUCAAGACAAACAAACAAACAAACAAACAAAAAACUCUUAAGUUCUAAGUGCCUGGAGCAGGGAGUGUUUCUGAGGCCUCAUGUUUACCAGGGCACUGUGCUAUGUGCAGGGUAGUGAGGGGGAGAGACACCAUUCCAACAUCUUGGAGCCCAAGUCUAGAGUCAGGGCCACAGAGGCGGGAGAGGAAGAGAAUCCCACUGCAAAUGGGCUGGGCCUCCCUGCCUUUGCCCAUUGAGUGAGCAACAGUGCUGUUUCUAUAGGUCUCUUUGAGCCUUAAGCAUGGAAUGUGAUGAGACUGAACAGUGAUAAAAUGUAUUGAUGGAACUUCUGUUCAUUGAAAUGCAAAGGGGAAGAAAGAAUUUAGAAAUGAUCUGAGGUUUCCAGCUUGGGGAGAGAGAAAGUGAGAGGAAGUGGGGGCCUAAGGGGAAUGGAAUGAACAGCCCCGACUUCAGGCUUGUAGACUGCAAUGGGGCAAGGCAGCUACAUGCAAAUGUCCUUCCUGGAGCCUGGAAACAAGGUCAAAGCAGAGAUGGACAAGUAGGAGCGCAGCCUAGAGGAGAUAGGUGAUGCCUGAAGCCAUGAGAAGGGGUGUUAUCUCUGCAGGAAGAAGAAUUGCAACACUCCUCCCAGCUGAGCAAACAGUCUGGGCUGGGAUGUGAGUGGUAUCACACUCUGCACUCACUUCCUCCUUCAGUGGUCAUUUGAGAGUUCACUGGGGCUGACCUACCCCAUUGGUCCUGGAGGACAGAAAGGAAUGGAGAAUAAAGAAGGUCUAAGGUGCAGUUUUUCCCCCUCCUCCAAAGCCAUGAAGGGACCUAUGGAUUUGAAAGCUGUGUGUGGUCACUGUGGACAGAGUGACUCCUACCCCACUGGGGGGCUUUGCCAGCCAAGGCACAAAUCAAGCCUUCUCUUUGCCCUCUGAAGUCAAAGGGAGAAGACCGGGGUUGUCCAUCUUUAUAGGCAGCCUCAGAUGAUCCAACCUAAUAUACGUCAUUAACAAAUUGUGUGAUCUUGAACAAGUCAGUUUAUCUCAUUGUGACUCAAGUGAACAUAAGGGUAUAGAGCAUUUGCCCUGCUGACCUCACUGGAUCAUUGUGAAAUAAUAGCUAAUGAGAUGGUGCAUAGCAGGUGUUUUGUAAACUUAACAGUGAUAGGCAAAGCUUAGUUCCCAUGAGAAUGACUCUCUGACUAUUAUCUAUGGCAUUGGAAUACUGACCUCCCUUCUCUGAGAAAGCUCCAGCGGCAAAAUGCUUCUGAUCUCAAACUUUAGGACCAAUUUUCUGGUUUACAGGGCAGGACGAGCCCCUUCUCUUAAGGAUCAAGGGGAUGAAGGAGAAUUCCCUGCUUUUGGUGGGGGGUUACUUCUGAAAGCCAUGCCCUGCUCCCAUCUGAGGAGGUCACCCAGUCCUAGUUUUGUCUGGAAGCACCCUGCCCAGCCCCAGGGGCCAGCCCCAUCCCAGCCAGGCCUCAGAGAUGUCAGACCUGAAAGGCAGCUGCUGCCUCUCCUUCUGACAGGUGUCUCCGCCAGAGCUGGGAGAUGAGGAGAUAGGCGAGCUGAGCACCUUUCCUCCUUGAAUUGAUAACUGCUUUGCAAUGCAGCUCUGUACUUGCUAAAUGAAACCUCCUGCCCCACCAUGAUGGAUUUAUGGCUGAAACAUCUUAUCUCAACUGAGAAUAUUUUAUGAGUGUGCAUGGGUGUGUGUGGGAUAGGAGGAGGGAAAAGGCAGUUUUGCAAACAUUUCUAGAGGUGCUCCAUAAUCUGCCCUACCCUGAAGUAUUAUCUAGAAGCUCUUUCUAGAUCUGCCAGGCUUAAGCAUCUAUAAGUCUUCUCCAGAUGCUAGCACAAUGUAGAUGCCUCAUGAAACAUUUGCUGAUGAUGAUGAUGACGAUGAUGACGAUGAAGGCUGUGGUCUGGAAGGGGACUCUGUUUUUGAUAAGUUUAAUUCAAUCCAGCAAAUAUUGAACAAAUGCUCAUUUUUGUUCAGGGCUAGGAAAGCUACUAUUAUUAUUUUUUUGGUGGGGUGGAGAAAGGGGAGAGUUGGAGAAUAUAAAAAUAAAUGACACAAACUCUUUUCUCUACAUCCUUGGUCUAUACUGAGGGGCCAGGACAUGCACAUUCGGAGUGGAUGUGGAGCAGAAGGGGUUGGAGUGGCAAGAACUAAUGGCCCAGAGUGUAGCUUCAGGAGCUGGACACACCUGGUGGGAUCUUUAGGUAGUUUCUUGUCUUUUGAGCUCCUCAGUUUUCUCCCCUCUAACAGGGGGACAACACUAUUCCCUAGCUCUAAGGUUGGUGUGAAGGUCAUAGGAUUUGCGUAGGGGUUACUUGGUACCAUGUGGGGUCAGCAGCUCAGUAGCAUCACCAACACGAGGAUGAAGAUGAAGGACCGACUCACUGACGAGGGUGGGCUGGAGAUGACUGGGAGCCAGGAACCAUCACAAACUCAGGGCUCUGUGUGCACUGGUUAUCCCAUUCUUUUGCAACCUUGUAAAAUUAAUUUAAUAGGUAGUACAUCCAAGUGGUUUAAAAAGCAAAAGGUAUAAAGAAAUAUGCAGUGAAGAUGAAAAUUGCUCUCAGUUCUGACCCCUCACUAUUGUGCUCCUCCUUCUCAGAGGCAGCUGUUGUCAUUGGUUUCUGGGGCAUUCUUUCCAAGGGCGUUGUACACCCAGCAUCUAAUGAUGCUACCUCUUCUUCCUCUUUCUUGUUUUAACCCAAAAGGAGGAAUUGGGAGUUGAUGAUAGCCAUAGAGUGGAAGGCAGCAGCUGGAGGGAGGAAGCUGGAUGUAUCUGAGCAUCUACUACGUGCCAGGCCCAGAUGAAAUCUUAUCAGUUCUAGCGAAAUUUGGAGAAAGAUUCACUGUCUUAGAAUUUGAAAACAUCAGUGCUGGAGGGGAAGGUGGAAGCCAUCUGGCUAAUCUUCAUUUACUGAUAUGGAAGUGACUAGUCCAAAGUCCCAGAGCUUUCUGAUUUUUGCUUCUUCUUGCUAGGAAAGCAAUUAUCCUAUAAUAAUCCUUCUUUACAG
This 10656-nucleotide long non-coding RNA is filed under the name Homo sapiens (human). Its description in RNAcentral is "non-protein coding lnc-BRF2-7:5". The record is from RNAcentral. Lineage: Eukaryota; Metazoa; Chordata; Mammalia; Primates; Hominidae.